GUGCUUGCUUUGAGAGCACAUAUAUUAAAAUUGUAACAAUACAGAGAAGAUUAGCAUGGCCCCCUACACAAAGGUAACACACAAAUUUGUGAAGUGUUCCAUAUUUAA
Molecule: small nuclear RNA, 108 nt
Organism: Aotus nancymaae (Ma's night monkey)
Lineage: Eukaryota; Metazoa; Chordata; Mammalia; Primates; Aotidae
Source: Ensembl